RNAcentral lists this ribosomal RNA (431 nucleotides) under uncultured bacterium. Its description in RNAcentral is "partial 16S ribosomal RNA". It matches the Rfam family "Bacterial small subunit ribosomal RNA", at positions 29 to 507 of the family's 1533-position model. The record is from RNAcentral.
AACGAACGCUGGCGGCAGGCCUAACACAUGCAAGUCGAGCGCCCUUUCGGGGGAGCGGCGGACGGGUGAGUAACGCGUGGGAAUAUGCCCUUCUCUACGGAAUAGCCUCGGGAAACUGAGAGUAAUACCGUAUACGCCCUGUGGGGGAAAGAUUUAUCGGGGAAGGAUUAGCCCGCGUUGGAUUAGGUAGUUGGUGGGGUAAUGGCCUACCAAGCCGACGAUCCAUAGCUGGUUUGAGAGGAUGAUCAGCCACACUGGGACUGAGACACGGCCCAGACUCCUACGGGAGGCAGCAGUGGGGAAUCUUAGACAAUGGGGGCAACCCUGAUCUAGCCACGCCGCGUGAGUGAUGAAGGCCUUAGGGUUGUAAAGCUCUUUCAGCUGGGAAGAUAAUGACGGUACCAGCAGAAGAAGCCCCGGCUAACUCCGUG